Molecule: long non-coding RNA, 613 nt
Filed under: Olea europaea subsp. europaea
Lineage: Eukaryota; Viridiplantae; Streptophyta; Magnoliopsida; Lamiales; Oleaceae
Source: RNAcentral
CCGAUGAAUUUAUCAAUUAAUUGAUAUUACAUGUCUAUGUUGUUGCGUAUUUUAAGAGAUCUUGUUACAGUUCAUUACGAAAAUAAAGAUGUAGAACUUUUAAGAGAACAAUUACACUCAAUUCUUAAGCAGUACCAUGAAGUGUUCUUCCAACAAGGGUGAUGCUACGUGGACAAAGAAGGUUGACAAUGGAGGUUCACAUAACAUGAGUUGACAAGAUCUAUAUCAUUCAUUUCAAAACCAGAUUUUGAAAUCAAAAAACAUAAACGGCCUAGAUCUUGCCAACACCUAUUUUGUCAACAAACUUUGUCUACCUACUUUGUACAAUUACAUUAAUUGUUAAAAUUACAACUAAUCAUGAUGGCAUGUUUGGAUGCUAGAAAGUGACCUCAAAAAGUGUGAUUGAAUCGACUGCUGGUAUGGUUGCACCCGUUAUUUUCAUCCACAUAAACCCUUAAUUCAAAUUAUCUAAGUCACAAUGGCUAAUGAAAGUCAGGAUUUGAUUCACAGUUUCAAAUUAAUCCACCAGCUAAACACCACAAGCAAUGCAUUGUAAAAAUGUGUAUCCAUUACUACUAUACUAAAACUUUAACUUUUUCAAAUUGUCCAAUAG